This 75-nucleotide transfer RNA is filed under the name Runella defluvii. Its description in RNAcentral is "tRNA-Val". It matches the Rfam family "tRNA". From Rfam's summary of the family: Transfer RNA (tRNA) molecules are approximately 80 nucleotides in length. Their secondary structure includes four short double-helical elements and three loops (D, anti-codon, and T loops). Further hydrogen bonds mediate the characteristic L-shaped molecular structure. tRNAs have two regions of fundamental functional importance: the anti-codon, which is responsible for specific mRNA codon recognition, and the 3' end, to which the tRNAs corresponding amino acid is attached (by aminoacyl-tRNA synthetases). tRNAs cope with the degeneracy of the genetic code in two manners: having more than one tRNA (with a specific anti-codon) for a particular amino acid; and 'wobble' base-pairing, i.e. permitting non-standard base-pairing at the 3rd anti-codon position. The record is from RNAcentral. Lineage: Bacteria; Pseudomonadati; Bacteroidota; Cytophagia; Cytophagales; Spirosomataceae. RNAcentral also lists the same sequence under 12 other names.
AGGAUCUUAGCUCAGUUGGUUCAGAGCGCUGCCUUGACAGGGCAGAGGUCAUCGGUUCGAGCCCGUUAGGUCCUA